This 608-nucleotide ribosomal RNA is filed under the name uncultured bacterium. RNAcentral's name for it is "bacterial SSU rRNA". The stretch from base 1 to 514 matches the Rfam family "Bacterial small subunit ribosomal RNA", at positions 338 to 873 of the family's 1533-position model. The record is from RNAcentral.
CCUACGGGAGGCAGCAGUGGGGAAUCUUGCGCAAUGGGCGAAAGCCUGACGCAGCCAUGCCGCGUGUAUGAUGAAGGUCUUAGGAUUGUAAAAUACUUUCACCGGUGAAGAUAAUGACUGUAGCCGGAGAAGAAGCCCCGGCUAACUUCGUGCCAGCAGCCGCGGUAAUACGAAGGGGGCUAGCGUUGCUCGGAAUUACUGGGCGUAAAGGGAGCGUAGGCGGACAUUUAAGUCAGGGGUGAAAUCCCAGAGCUCAACUCUGGAACUGCCUUUGAUACUGGGUGUCUUGAGUGUGAGAGAGGUAUGUGGAACUCCGAGUGUAGAGGUGAAAUUCGUAGAUAUUCGGAAGAACACCAGUGGCGAAGGCGACAUACUGGCUCAUUACUGACGCUGAGGCUCGAAAGCGUGGGGAGCAAACAGGAUUAGAUACCCUGGUAGUCCACGCCGUAAACGAUGAUUGCUAGUUGUCGGGAAGCUUGCUUCUCGGUGACGCAGCUACGCAUAGACAUCCGCCGUGGGAGGUACGGUCGCGAAGUAAGUUAAACGUUAAAGUUAGUAAGUUAGUUACGGCGUUGAGACGNGCCGACGGACGACGACGAGGGAGGAGG